GGGUCGAUUGGCUGGUUUGUUAGUAAAUUCUUAAUAAAUAUUUUUUAUAUAUAUUUAAUAAAUUUUUCAAUAUAAAUAUAAAGUUCACACAAAUAUUAUUCCUGAAAACCCUAACCCGACACGCCAGAUCCGCAGCUGCCAUGAAGUAUUCAUGGCCAAGCUACUUUGUAGAUCUGAAUCAACUGCAGUUCUUGCAUAUUGCGGUAAGCUAAUUACUGGUUUAGUCGGUGACCUUAUCGGUGAUCUGACUUCUUUAUUUCUCCAGAAAAGGGACAUCAAAUAGCCAUAUAGAAGCAUAUCAUCAGCAUGCCCUAAACCGAUGGCAUUCUCAUGUGCAAGCUGCUCCUUCAUAUCUUUCAAGAUGUCAAAAUCUGAAGGGAUCUGAGCAAACCCAAGUUUCUCUUAUACCACCUGUUAGUUACAAGUUACAAUUCUGUUCGACAUUAUCAUGGGCCUAAGUAUCGAACAAUAUGUGAGAACCAGAAUAUUCCCAGUCAAGUCUCAAGUUUCUGGAAUACAGAAUUUGUAGGAAAUUGUGGCAAGCCAUUAUUAGUUUAUUAGUAAUUUCUUCUUUCCUGUUGAAGUAGUGGUGGGGCCACGCAACAAUUCUCUCUCCAACCAACAAACUUAUACAGGGACUUGCAGUAAUUGAUAUCCUUGCGAAGAGGGGUAGGACUAGUCAUCGAGGAUAAAGGAGAUGUAUGACCAACAUUUGGUGAAAGUGACAGCUUAGGCUGCAAGGUGGUGCGAUGGUCUGCACUUGACAAAACCACAUCAUAUUUGGAACAAGAUGAAGGAACCAACUCAGAAUUAACCAAGGGCUUUCCUCCUGCAUUGUCAAUUCCUAGAUGAGGAGGGGCCCCUUGUUCAUUUACCAAACUACUUUUCACGGAUGUUUCAGGCUUAGUCAUCGUCAAGGGCGCAAAUUUUGCCAUUGGCUUUGGGCCAAAACUUGGUCCAGAUCCUGCAUAGGGAGCUUGGCGUUCAUUAAUGGGUUUGUUAAUUACCUUAUCGGUUUUUGUCCUAGGCAAGGGAAUCAAUUGAUCCACCGGCCUAGACAUGAUACCUAUAAAAGAAUCAGCUGUUGCAGCACCAGUUGCAGCAUUGUUAGCGCUUCCAUGUUCAUUCAUUAGCUUUGGUAUUUCUUCUGGAUUGAGGAGAAGUCUAACCAAUAAGUUGGCAUCGAUCAGACUACCCUGCUCUUGAUUUUUUGCAAGAGCAGUUAUAGCUGUUGCUACAGCAACUGUCAAAUCACAUGUGGAUGGAGAUUUGGUGACAGGGUUGUGCUUAGCAGGUGGCAUUUCAGAAACUUGAGACUCGAGCUGGCGAAUAGUCUGGUUUUCACAUAUUGUUCGAUACUUGGGCCCAUGGUUUUGAUUAGCUAUUUGGUCUGGAAAAAUUUCAGUCUGGUCUGGAGUGCUGAUAUAUUGGGGGACAGAGUUGUAACUAAUAGGUGGUUUAGGAGAAACUUUGGUUUGCUCAGAUCCCUUCAGAUGAGAAGUAGAUUCCACAUUAGAAGGCCAUCUUACAGAAAAAGGAGAUUUGGUCAGAGGUUUCCUGGGAUUUUGGAAGGUUGACAAAGACUGGGGAAGCGAUUUUCCAUUAGCAGGUAGCUUUUGAGAAGUAACUAUACUGACAGAUGAUGAUGGACUAUAAGUUAGACAAGCAUCUGGCAAUUUGCUGCUGAUGGUUUGGGAUGGCGUUAAAUGGAAUGAAACUCCUACAUCUGUUUCUUCUUCGAUGGGAAUGAUUCGAAUUACUGGAGUUUGAUUAUCAUCAUAAGUUUGGUCCAGAUCCGACGAGGUGUAAGGACUGUAUGGCAAUAGGAAAAACAAAAGAUUACAACCAAGUAAUUUGAGACAAAGAAGCUAUAAACCUAAGAGAUAGUCCAAAAAUUACAUACUUAGGAGGAAUUGCAUGCCGAGAAGGACAAACCACCUCAAUCACUCUCUUUUCCCUAUGCUCCUGAUCCCCUGCUUCUUUACUAUCUUCACCAGAAACCACUUGCCACUUAUUGUUCAAAUUAAACUACCAAGAACAACAUGAAAUUAGUUAUUACGUCAAUGUGUGCAGAAACUAUGCAAAUAAAGGCACCUCCUAUCAUCUAAAACUUAGAUUACCUUGGGAGGGCAUUUCCAUUUAGCCAAAGAUCUGUAAGAAAAUCUCUCUUUUGACUUCAUCAGGCAAUGCAUCUGCUUUAAAUGAGGAUGAUGUUGAGAUCUCUUACCUA
Solanum dulcamara is the source of this 2230-nucleotide long non-coding RNA. RefSeq lists it as uncharacterized. The transcript has 3 exons. Lineage: Eukaryota; Viridiplantae; Streptophyta; Magnoliopsida; Solanales; Solanaceae. The record is from RefSeq and is a predicted model, not a curated record.